RNAcentral lists this ribosomal RNA (250 nucleotides) under uncultured bacterium. RNAcentral's name for it is "partial 16S ribosomal RNA". It matches the Rfam family "Bacterial small subunit ribosomal RNA", at positions 524 to 773 of the family's 1533-position model. The record is from RNAcentral.
UACGGAGGAUCCGAGCGUUAUCCGGAAUUAUUGGGUUUAAAGGGUUCGUAGGCGGCUGAGUAAGUCGGUGGUGAAAUCUUGCAGCUUAACUGUAAAAUUGCCGUUGAUACUGCAUGGCUUGAAUAGUAUGGAAGUAAUUAGAAUAUGUAGUGUAGCGGUGAAAUGCUUAGAUAUUACAUGGAAUACCAAUUGCGAAGGCAGAUUACUACGUAUUUAUUGACGCUGAUGAACGAAAGCGUGGGUAGCGAAC